Molecule: ribosomal RNA, 446 nt
Filed under: uncultured bacterium
Lineage: Bacteria
Description: bacterial SSU rRNA
Rfam family: Bacterial small subunit ribosomal RNA
Source: RNAcentral
UGCCAGACUCCUACGGGAGGCAGCAGUGGGGAAUAUUGCACAAUGGGGGAAACCCUGAUGCAGCAACGCCGCGUGAGUGAAGAAGUAUUUCGGUAUGUAAAGCUCUAUCAGCAGGGAAGAAAAUGACGGUACCUGAGUAAGAAGCCCCGGCUAACUACGUGCCAGCAGCCGCGGUAAUACGUAGGGGGCAAGCGUUAUCCGGAUUUACUGGGUGUAAAGGGAGCGUAGACGGCGAUACAAGUCUGAAGUGAAAGCCCGGGGCUCAACCCCGGGACUGCUUUGGAAACUGUGUUGCUGGAGUGCUGGAGAGGCAAGCGGAAUUUCUAGUGUAGCGGUGAAAUGCGUAGAUAUUAGGAAGAACACCAGUGGCGAAGGCGGCUUGCUGGACAGUAACUGACGUUGAGGCUCGAAAGCGUGGGGAGCAAACAGGAUUAGAUACCCUAGUA